RNAcentral lists this ribosomal RNA (465 nucleotides) under uncultured Veillonella sp. RNAcentral describes it as "bacterial SSU rRNA". It matches the Rfam family "Bacterial small subunit ribosomal RNA", at positions 338 to 795 of the family's 1533-position model. Lineage: Bacteria; Bacillati; Bacillota; Negativicutes; Veillonellales; Veillonellaceae. The record is from RNAcentral.
CCUACGGGUGGCAGCAGUGGGGAAUCUUCCGCAAUGGACGAAAGUCUGACGGAGCAACGCCGCGUGAGUGAUGAAGGUCUUCGGAUUGUAAAGCUCUGUUAAUCGGGACGAAAGAGUUCUGUGUGAAUAAUGCAGAAAAGUGACGGUACCGGAAUAGAAAGCCACGGCUAACUACGUGCCAGCAGCCGCGGUAAUACGUAGGUGGCAAGCGUUGUCCGGAAUUAUUGGGCGUAAAGCGCGCGCAGGCGGCCUAUCCAGUCUGUCUUAAAAGUUCGGGGCUCAACCCCGUGAUGGGAUGGAAACUAGUAGGCUAGAGUAUCGGAGAGGAAAGCGGAAUUCCUAGUGUAGCGGUGAAAUGCGUAGAUAUUAGGAAGAACACCAGUGGCGAAGGCGGCUUUCUGGACGAAAACUGACGCUGAGGCGCGAAAGCCAGGGGAGCGAACGGGAUUAGAUACCCUGGUAGUC